RNAcentral lists this long non-coding RNA (793 nucleotides) under Homo sapiens (human). Its description in RNAcentral is "non-protein coding lnc-BDH2-2:2". The record is from RNAcentral. Lineage: Eukaryota; Metazoa; Chordata; Mammalia; Primates; Hominidae.
GGAAUGAAUUACACGCCCUCCAUGCAUCAAGAAGCACAGGAGGAGACAGUUAUGAAGCUCAAAGGUAUAGAUGCAAAUGAACCAACAGAAGGAAGUAUUCUUUUGAAAAGCAGUGAAAAAAAGCUACAAGAAACACCAACUGAAGCAAAUCACGUACAAAGACUGAGACAAAUGCUGGCUUGCCCUCCACAUGGUUUACUGGACAGGGUCAUAACAAAUGGCAUGCUGCUUGCAGGGUUUCUCAUCAGAAAUAUCCCAGUCAUCAACGAUAAUGUGCAGAUCAAGCACAAGUGGUCUUCCUCUUUGAGAAGCAUAGCCCUGUCUAUCAUUCUGGUUCGUGCUGGCCUUGGUCUGGAUUCAAAGGCCCUGAAGAAGUUAAAGGGCGUUUGUGUAAGACUGUCCAUGGGUCCCUGUAUUGUGGAGGCGUGCACAUCUGCUCUUCUUGCCCAUUACCUGCUGGGUUUACCAUGGCAAUGGGGAUUUAUACUGGGGUAAUGAUUGUUUCUUUGUCAUAUGAAAAUAUGUAGGGACAUUUAGGGCUUUCCCUGAUUGCAUACAAGAGAAUGCAUAAUAGAAUUUUCUUAUAGAUAUCAGAAAAUGCAACAUAGAUGUUACAGCAUAAUUUAAAUAUUCUAACUUCAAAACAUAGUUUAUGUGUUAAUAGGCGCUAACUCUUACAGUUAGCACCUACUAUUCAAACUGUUGAAGAAGUCGUGGUCUUUUGCCUACACCUGAUUCAAUGCCUGUUAAAGAGAUACCGGAUUCCACCUAACGUCUGCACAAAGGAUAAUAA